CUGGGCUGGAGAUUGGCCCACAAGCAGCCUCUCUCUCCUCUGAGCUGUAGGACAGGGGGCACUUCUGGGAAGUGACUGACAGAAGCUUAAUCUAGAACAUCCAUUAUAAACAGGCAGCGGGCAGAGGGCUCAGAUUUGGGUCUUGCAGCAUCAGGAACAGCGUGGCCUCCCUGGGGCUCAGCAGACCAGCUGCCACGUUCUCUGCAGAUACCAACUGGGUGUCCUCCAGUUCACUUCAGGUCUGACCCCAACUACCCAGAGUUAGCCCCGCCCCCACAGGCGAAGGGCUCAGUCCACAAGACUGCCCCUCCUCCACAUGUCAACUGCAUGUCCACCUGCCCAACCAGCUGUAAAUCGGAGAUUCCCACAAUCCCCUCCUCAGGUUCGUUAUUGUAUGACAUGCUCUUCCCUCGGAUGGGGCAAGUGGCACUGAGAAGGCGUCCUGGAGCGGGUACCCUCUGGGUCUGGACUGGGGAGGCGGGAGAGGCAGUCUGUCACCUGGCGCUCUCGUAAUUCACUCCCUACCUCAGCGGUAAACCCUGCUUCCUGAAGGCUCUCAGGUUCUCGCAGGCAGUCCUUGCUCCUCCGGGACUCUUCAGCAAUCUAACUUCUCACCGUUAAGAAGAAACUAUUCUGUUCGAAUGAACAGCCCCGCUGCUAAUGCUGCUAAUCGUGAGCUGGAAAGGGAAUCUUGGCAAGUCAGAAGCUGCCCAGCAGGUGCAGGGGCCUGUGAGCUCCUGGCAGGCCACCCUGCUCCCGUCCCCUGCCAGGCGUGCACUGCAGGGUAAAGGCCAACAUGAAUCUGAGACUCUGGUCGCUCGUGCAGAACUCCAGAACAACCCAGGGGAGGUUUCUGCUGCACCCGCUGGGUGCUCUGUGGGUCUCCCACCGGG
RNAcentral lists this long non-coding RNA (893 nucleotides) under Equus asinus (donkey). RNAcentral describes it as "lncRNA (ENSEASG00005025080.1)". The record is from RNAcentral. Lineage: Eukaryota; Metazoa; Chordata; Mammalia; Perissodactyla; Equidae.